RNAcentral lists this unclassified non-coding RNA (2035 nucleotides) under Hevea brasiliensis (rubber tree). Lineage: Eukaryota; Viridiplantae; Streptophyta; Magnoliopsida; Malpighiales; Euphorbiaceae. The record is from RNAcentral.
AAAAAAUGGAAAACAUACAUUAAAAUUAUGAAGGAUCACUUUGUCAUUAGAAAUUGGUGUGCCACUUGGCACAAACAUAACUACAAAGUGUGUUAUUUGGCAUUACUUGGCACACUCUACAGAUUACACAUGGCAGCUUCUUACUAACAUAUUUUAAAUACCAGAGCUUGCUGAAUUGAGCUAUAGAGAUGUGUCAACACUUGAGCUGUUGAACUUGAAUGUUUCCCCAAGCUGAUAGUUUCAUGCUUUUAGUACUGGUAAUAGCUGUGGCCCGUAGAGAGGUGUCAACAAGCAGCAUUAGCACUUCCAUCUUCUAUUACUUAUGACGGGCAGUAAUAGCUAUUUACAAAUUUUCUUAGUUGUAGAAAUGUAGUUGCAGCAGUAUGAGAUGAUGAGAUAUCAAUUAAUUUAUAGGAAUCAGUUCUUUUAUUCAGAAAUAUGUAUUUUCUUCAAUUUCUCAGUCAUCUUCUUUGCCGCCUCUUCUAUCUUUGCUCUAUCAGCUCCCCCACUUCCAGCAUACUUAGCCUUGAAAACUUUCACCUCAUCGUCUGUCAAUUUCUUAAAUAAUGGAUAUGGCUUCUCAAUUUUUUGACCAGCAGGAAUAAGUUCCCAAGGUUUUUGUACCCUCUCAAGAUCUUUUUCUUCCCAAAGUGAAAAUGUUGUUUCAGGAGGCAGCUUAAGCAGCUUGAACACCUUUAGUCUCACACGAAAACAGAAAUAUCUUGUGAAACAUUGGAUAAAUUUAUCACAAUCUAAGAUUGUCCAUAAUGCAGGCCUUAAUUCAUACCUUAACAGAAAAUGAUGGCAUGAAAGGUUCUAACAAACAUGCAAGAAGAUAAACCAGCCCCACUGAAGUUUUCACAAUAAUAGAGCAGGAAGCUUGAUCUUCCUCGUACAUCCUAAAAUAUUGGCUCUCCUACAUGCCAUGUUUAAGAUUUCAGCAAGUGAUUUAAAGAUGGCCAGAACAAUCAGUAAUUAUAUCAAUGAAACAUAUAAAGCUUUUACAAGCUUACUUGCAGAUAUGCAUUUCCUUCACCAGAAAUGUUCAUUGCACAUUUCAAUCCUUGUUUUAGCUUAACCUACAUGACCUCAGAGCACAUAUGUUUAUUUCGUUGGUAAAAGAAUCUAGCACAGAAUAGUGAAGUCACAGAACAGUGAAUGAAACCACCUGCUCCAUGGAUUUUACAUAUUGGUCCACCUGGUUACCAACUUUUUCUGCCAAUGCUACUGUCAAGGCAUGUGAAUCUGCCCCUGGAGCAUCAGGAAUGACAGCUUCAUAUCCUUUUCCUGCAGAAAAUUAUAGUUCAAACAUUUAGUGAUAAACAACAGAAGAAAGUAAAGAAUCAAAUACUGAAGGAAAUAAAGAUGUUAAGUCCAAACAGCACUAUCCUUCGGUAAUACUAUAGCUAUACCAAAGGAUAAUGUAGCCAAACCCAAGUAUAACACAAACGCAUGCUCUGAAGAUAUGUGAUCUGUCCAUAGAAAUAGGAAAAGACAGCUAGGGGGCCAGCUAUACUGGCUUCUGGAUUCUUCUAGAAACCAAGCACUGGUGUAGGGAGCAAAUAAAAGUAAAUAUAUAAGAUGGACAGGGUUCCCAGGUAAGAUUAUUCUUUCUAAUUCCCAUUCUCUCCUAGCUAUGAGCCCUGUGACUCACUUUACCAUCCAAGUGUGAAUGCCAGAGACACUUCCAGUGUCACACUAACUCUUCCUCUUCUCUGCAGGGUUCAGAUCAGAAGUCUGGGACACAUCAAAAGAUUUACAAGCCAAAAGAUACUCAAUGAGGUCUCUAUUGUGUGCCAAUGCCUAAAAGAAACUGAAGAACUAGAGAGGCAUGAGUAAAAACAUAGAACAUAAAUUAUUAAACCUUAAAAUCCCAUUAAACUUGCUAACAAAGUAAUGCUAGAUAAAAAAUGUCCUAUUCAUUCCCAUGUAGAAUCUAAUAAACUUAGAGAGAUCUUGCAACAUACAUAAGAAAUGUUGAAGCAUGUUUCUUGACAUUUUUUUUUUUUGAGUUAGCGAAUGGGGGAGUGGGGAC